RNAcentral lists this ribosomal RNA (492 nucleotides) under uncultured bacterium. Its description in RNAcentral is "partial 16S ribosomal RNA". It matches the Rfam family "Bacterial small subunit ribosomal RNA", at positions 29 to 507 of the family's 1533-position model. The record is from RNAcentral.
AGUGAACGCUGGCGGUAGGCCUAACACAUGCAAGUCGAACGGCAGCACAGUAAGAGCUUGCUCUUACGGGUGGCGAGUGGCGGACGUGUGAGGAAUACAUCGGAAUCUACUUUUUCGUGGGGGAUAACGUAGGGAAACUUACGCUAAUACCGCAUACGACCUACGGUUGAAAGCAGGGGAUCUUCGGACCUUGCGCGAUUGAAUGAGCCGAUGUCGGAUUAGCUAGUUGGCGGGGUAAAGGCCCACCAAGGCGACGAUCCGUAGCUGGUCUGAGAGGAUGAUCAGCCACACUGGAACUGAGACACGGUCCAGACUCCUACGGGAGGCAGCAGUGGGGAAUAUUGGACAAUGGUCGCAAGCCUGAUCCAGCCAUACCGCGUGGGUGAAGAAGGCCUUCGGGUUGUAAAGCCCUUUUGUUGGGAAAGAAAAGCAGCAGGUUAAUACCCCGCUGUUCUGACGGUACCCAAAGAAUAAGCACCGGCUAACUUCGUG